This 403-nucleotide ribosomal RNA is filed under the name bacterium. Its description in RNAcentral is "partial 16S ribosomal RNA". It matches the Rfam family "Bacterial small subunit ribosomal RNA", at positions 355 to 776 of the family's 1533-position model. The record is from RNAcentral.
UGGGGAAUAUUGCACAAUGGAGGGAACUCUGAUGCAGCGACGCCGCGUGAACGAAGAAGGCUUUCGCGUCGUAAAGUUCUUUUAUAUGGGAAGAUAAUGACGGUACCAUAAGAAAAAGCCCCGGCUAACUACGUGCCAGCAGCCGCGGUAAUACGUAGGGGGCUAGCGUUGUCCGGAAUCACUGGGCGUAAAGGGUUCGCAGGCGGAAAUGCAAGUCAGGUGUAAAAGGCAGUAGCUUAACUACUGUAAGCAUUUGAAACUGCAUAUCUUGAGAAGAGUAGAGGUAAGUGGAAUUUUUAGUGUAGCGGUGAAAUGCGUAGAUAUUAAAAAGAAUACCGGUGGCGAAGGCGGCUUACUGGGCUCAUUCUGACGCUGAGGAACGAAAGCGUGGGUAGCAAACAGG